GGUCUUGUACCCUGGCUAUGCUCAGUAACACGUGAAAAAAACCCUUAGGUGGGGAUAAACCGGGAAACUGGGGUAAUUCCCCAUAGAUACAGAAGGCUGGAAUGCCUCUGUAUUCAAAGCUCCGGCGCCUAAGGAUGAGUCUGCGAUUAUCAGGUAGUAGUCAGGGUCACGACCUGACUAGCCAACGACGGGUACGGGGUGUGAGAGCACUUGCCCGGAGAUGGUUUCUGAGACACGAAACCAGGCCCUACGGGGCGCAGCAGGCGCGAAAACUUCGCAAUGCGGGAAACCGUGACGAGGGAACUCCAAGUGUCUAUGCAAUGCAUAGACUGUUUUUCAGCCUAAAUAGCUGUUAGAGUAAGGGGUGGGUAAGAUUCUUGUUGCCAGCCGCCGCGGUAACACCGGGCACCCCGAGUGGGUAGCCACUAUUAUCUGGGAUCUAAAGCGUUCGUAGCCGGGUGUUAGUACAAUUCGUGGGAUAAAUCGCUACCAGCCUUAACUGGUGCCGGA
RNAcentral lists this ribosomal RNA (510 nucleotides) under uncultured archaeon. RNAcentral describes it as "bacterial SSU rRNA". It matches the Rfam family "Archaeal small subunit ribosomal RNA", at positions 64 to 571 of the family's 1478-position model. The record is from RNAcentral.